RNAcentral lists this ribosomal RNA (465 nucleotides) under uncultured bacterium. RNAcentral's name for it is "partial 16S ribosomal RNA". It matches the Rfam family "Bacterial small subunit ribosomal RNA", at positions 338 to 795 of the family's 1533-position model. The record is from RNAcentral.
CCUACGGGUGGCAGCAGUGGGGAAUAUUGCGCAAUGGGCGAAAGCCUGACGCAGCGACGCCGCGUGAGGGAUGAAAGUCUUCGGAUCUUAAACCUCUUUCAGCAGGGAAGAACGGUCACUGUGCUAAUCAGCAGUGAAUUGACGGUACCUGCAAAGGAAGCACCGGCUAACUACGUGCCAGCAGCCGCGGUAAUACGUAGGUGGCUAGCGUUAUCCGGAAUGAUUGGGCGGAAAGGUUGCGCAGGCGGUCCUGCAAGUCUGGAGUGAAACGCAUGAGAUCAACUCAUGCAUGGCGUUGGAAACUGGAGGACUGGAGAGCAGGAGAGGGAGGUGGAACUGAAUGUGUAGCGGUAAAAUGCGUAGAUAUAUGGAAGAACACCAGUGGCGAAGGCGGCCGACUGGCCUGUUGCUGACGCUGAGGCACGAAAGCGUGGGGAGCAAAUAGGAUUAGAUACCCUUGUAGUC